RNAcentral lists this ribosomal RNA (253 nucleotides) under uncultured bacterium. RNAcentral describes it as "partial 16S ribosomal RNA". It matches the Rfam family "Bacterial small subunit ribosomal RNA", at positions 524 to 776 of the family's 1533-position model. The record is from RNAcentral.
UACAUGUGGGGCAAGCGUUGUUCGGAAUUACUGGGCAUAAAGGGUGCGUAGGUGGCGCCGUAAGUCGGGUGUGAAAUUUCGGAGCUUAACUCCGAAACUGCAUUCGAUACUGCGGUGCUUGAGGACUGGAGAGGAGACUGGAAUUCAUGGUGUAGCAGUGAAAUGCGUAGAGAUCAUGAGGAAGACCAGUGGCGAAGGCGGGUCUCUGGACAGUUCCUGACACUGAGGCACGAAGGCCAGGGGAGCAAACGGG